RNAcentral lists this ribosomal RNA (254 nucleotides) under uncultured bacterium. RNAcentral's name for it is "partial 16S ribosomal RNA". It matches the Rfam family "Bacterial small subunit ribosomal RNA", at positions 524 to 776 of the family's 1533-position model. The record is from RNAcentral.
UACGUAGGGUGCGAGCGUUAAUCGGGAUUACUGGGCGUAAAGCGUGCGCAGGCGGUCUGUUAAGUCCGAUGUGAAAUCCCCGGGCUUAACCUGGGAACUGCAUUGGUGACUGGCAGGCUUUGAGUGUGGCAGAGGGAGGUAGAAUUCCACGUGUAGCAGUGAAAUGCGUAGAGAUGUGGAGGAAUACCGAUGGCGAAGGCAGCCUCCUGGGCCAACACUGACGCUCAUGCACGAAAGCGUGGGGAGCAAACAGG